Mustela lutreola (European mink) is the source of this 105-nucleotide small nuclear RNA. The record is from RefSeq and is a predicted model, not a curated record. Lineage: Eukaryota; Metazoa; Chordata; Mammalia; Carnivora; Mustelidae.
GUGCUUGCUUUGGCAGCACAUAUACUAAAAUUGGAACGAUAGAGAAGAUUAGCUUGGCCUCUGUGCAAGGAUGGCAUGCAAAUUCAUGAAGUGUUCCAUAUUUAA